This 422-nucleotide ribosomal RNA is filed under the name uncultured bacterium. RNAcentral's name for it is "partial 16S ribosomal RNA". It matches the Rfam family "Bacterial small subunit ribosomal RNA", at positions 359 to 774 of the family's 1533-position model. The record is from RNAcentral.
GAUAUUGGACAAGGGGCGAGAGCCUGACCCAGCCAGGCCGCGUGAGUGCAGAAGGUAUUCGGAUUGUAAAGCACUUUAAGUUGGGAGGAAGGGCAGUAAGUUACUACCUUGCUGUUUUGACGUUACCGACAGAAUAAGCACCGGCUAACUUCGAGCCAGCAACCGCGGUAAUACGAAGGGUGCAAGCGUUAAACGGAAUUACUGGGCGUAAAGCGCGCGUAGGUGUUUCGUUAAAUUGGAAAUGAAAACCCCGGGCUCACAAUGGGGACUGCUUACCAAACUGGCAAGCUCGAGUAUGGCCGAGGGUGGUGGGAAUUCCUGUGUAGCGGUGAAAUGCGCAGAUAUAGGAAGGAACACCAGUGGCGAAGGCGACCACCUGGGCUAAUACUGACACUGAGGUGCGAAAGCGUGGGGAGCAAACA